Cyclopterus lumpus (lumpfish) is the source of this 1564-nucleotide long non-coding RNA. RefSeq lists it as uncharacterized. The transcript is spliced from 3 exons. Lineage: Eukaryota; Metazoa; Chordata; Actinopteri; Perciformes; Cyclopteridae. The record is from RefSeq and is a predicted model, not a curated record.
AACGUAACACAACUUAAUUAAUUUCAAUAAAUGACUAAGUCGACUUACUUUAAAGUCACUACUGACUUACUUUAACAAGCGUAAGGUCAACAUUGACAAACAAUUGUCACCUGGAUGAGAGUCUUGUGUUUCUUCAACCCAUCCACCAAACUUUCUCGCUUCUUAUACUCUUUAUUACACACCUUUUAAACUUUCAAUAACAGUCGCUAUAAUAAACUACGUCGCUUUGUUGAUGCUUUGACCGAGUGCCAACAAUGUCCACCGUCAACAUACCCCUGGUUUGCAGAAACAUACCCAACAUUUCUUUCCUUGCAGCUGUUGUUUAACAUGUUGACGUUAUUCUACACUUUUACCUCGUGGAGCACAUGACAGCAGUAUCUCAGAGCCCCGAUAGACCGUCACAUCUCGGUGGAGCUCCGGCCCGUUUUCAGCGCUGCAGUUGAGCUCGUCCUCCUCCAACUGAAGCAGGUCUCUGCCUGAGAGGGCGGAGGGGGAAGCACACACCACGCUCCAGGCCUGCAGGCCUCGGCCGCCGUCGUGAGCCAUCCUCCUCCGGAGACUGCGCAUACUGCAAUCACACUGCCACCUGUUGCCACCCAGCCGGACGUCUGCCCCAAUGUCACGCAGAGUUAGGAACGUCAGGGGAUGGAGGCUGGUCAACAUGUUGAAGCUCAGAUCCAGGACCUUUUUGAGGGGGACACAAUAUGGACACAGUAGAGGUUGACGCGUCAUGUGGAGCUCUUUUAGCUGUCGGAGGUGGAGAAGGUCUCCUGGUCGUAGAGCUGAGAUCCUGUUGAACGAGAGCUGCAGAACCUGCAGGGACUCACUACCUUCCAGCCCUGGACGACAGAAAACAAAAUACUUCUGGUCUAUUUCCACUGUGAACUCUUUACAGCGUCGUAUCUUCUGCGGCGUUCGUUCCUCUUCUUCUUCAGCCCGAGACAAUCUCCCCCCGAGACAGCGCUGUUAGAGAGGCUCUGUGAGCUGAAUACCAAACAGGGAGGCAGUCCAUGACCGUCAACUCUGGCUAAGUAAAGGGUUCUCACACACACACACACACACACACACACACACACACACACACACAAGCCCCUGGAAUGUCAAUAAAAGCUGUCACUGACGGGUGUGCAGUGUUAUUAUCUUGGCAGGUGAGCAAAGUACGAAAGAUAAAGCACAUCGACAACACGGGGGUUUGUUUAUGUGUCAGAAUCGAAUGAGACGACGGUAACGCAGCUCAAAGACUUCUUCUACCUUCUAAAACUCUGGAAACAACAAACCUCUCAGGUGUGACUUCUAACCAACCACCCCCCCACACACACACACAAAUACAAAAGGCUUUUUAAUGUGUAGAUUUACGAGAUGGUGAACGUGACACACGAAAAACCACAAAGUUAAAGUCAACUUUUUGCCCCUAGUGUUUGUGAAAUAUAGUUAUAUAGUUUAAAAUGAUAUACAUCUAAGUAGAUCCAUAGAUGAUGCUUUAUUUUAAAGGCGCAGUGUGUAGGAUUCGGUGCCCUCUAGUGGUGUGGUUGCAUAUUGCAACCAACUGAAUACCCGCUCUGAA